This 25-nucleotide non-coding RNA is filed under the name Arabidopsis thaliana (thale cress). The record is from RNAcentral. Lineage: Eukaryota; Viridiplantae; Streptophyta; Magnoliopsida; Brassicales; Brassicaceae.
UGCCUCGGCAUCAGCGUGCUCCGGG